This 30-nucleotide non-coding RNA is filed under the name Rattus norvegicus (Norway rat). The record is from RNAcentral. Lineage: Eukaryota; Metazoa; Chordata; Mammalia; Rodentia; Muridae.
UCCCCAGAUCUCUCCCCUAUGUGUGAUGCA